AUUGAACGCUGGCGGCAUGCUUUACACAUGCAAGUCGAACGGUAACAGGGUGCUUGCACCGCUGACGAGUGGCGAACGGGUGAGUAAUGCGUCGGAACGUGCCGAGUAGUGGGGGAUAACGCAGCGAAAGUUGUGCUAAUACCGCAUACGUACUGAGGUAGAAAGUGGGGGACCUUCGGGCCUCACGCUAUUCGAGCGGCCGACGUCUGAUUAGCUAGUAGGUGAGGUAAAGGCUCACCUAGGCGACGAUCAGUAGCGGGUCUGAGAGGAUGAUCCGCCACACUGGGACUAAGACAAGGCCCAGACUCCUACCGGAGUAAGCAGUGGGGAAUUUUGUAAAAUGGGCGAAAGCCUGAUCCAGCCAUGCCGCGUGUCUGAAGAAGGCCUUCGGGUUGUAAAGGACUGUUGUCAGGGAGGAAAUCCCUAGUGCUAAUAACACUGGGGGAUGACAGUACCUGGAGAAUAAGCACCGGCUAACUACGUGCCAGCCGCCGCGGUAA
Molecule: ribosomal RNA, 500 nt
Filed under: uncultured bacterium
Lineage: Bacteria
Description: partial 16S ribosomal RNA
Rfam family: Bacterial small subunit ribosomal RNA
Source: RNAcentral